This 211-nucleotide non-coding RNA is filed under the name Bradyrhizobium elkanii. The record is from RNAcentral. Lineage: Bacteria; Pseudomonadati; Pseudomonadota; Alphaproteobacteria; Hyphomicrobiales; Nitrobacteraceae.
GAAUGGUGGGCCCGCGCUGGUUCCUGUCCUACGACAGGCGAAGAGGGAAUGCGAUAGGGCUCAGGUUCGGGCCCGAAGCGCAGCCGCCCCCGCGACCGUGACCGGAGAGAUGUCCAAGGCCACUGAUUUCCACGGAAAUCGGGAAGGCGGGGAUCGAAGGGCGACAGCCUGCUCCGCAAGCCGGGAGACCUGCCAGUGCAGCAAUUGAGAC